GAUGAACGCUGGCGGCGUGCUUAACACAUGCAAGUCGAACGAAGCACCUCUCCCGAAGAUUGACACAGCUUGCUGUAGAUUGAUUCAUUUGAGGUGACUGAGUGGCGGACGGGUGAGUAACGCGUGGGUAACCUGCCUCAUAGAGGGGGACAACAGUUGGAAACGACUGCUAAUACCGCAUAGUAAGAAGAAUUCGCAUGUUUUCUUCUUGAAAGAUUUAUCGCUAUGAGAUGGACCCGCGUCUGAUUAGCUAGUUGGUAAGGUAACGGCUUACCAAGGCGACGAUCAGUAGCCGGCUUGAGGGAGUGAACGGCCACAUUGGGACUGAGACACGGCCCAAACUCCUACGGGAGGCAGCAGUGGGGAAUAUUGCACAAUGGGGGAAACCCUGAUGCAGCGACGCCGCGUGAGUGAAGAAGUAUUUCGGUAUGUAAAGCUCUAUCAGCAGGGAAGAUAAUGACGGUACCUGACUAAGAAGCCCCGGCUAACUACGUG
This 495-nucleotide ribosomal RNA is filed under the name uncultured bacterium. RNAcentral's name for it is "partial 16S ribosomal RNA". It matches the Rfam family "Bacterial small subunit ribosomal RNA", at positions 28 to 507 of the family's 1533-position model. The record is from RNAcentral.